Molecule: ribosomal RNA, 392 nt
Filed under: uncultured bacterium
Lineage: Bacteria
Description: partial 16S ribosomal RNA
Rfam family: Bacterial small subunit ribosomal RNA
Source: RNAcentral
AUACGGAGGAUCCAAGCGUUAUCCGGAUUUAUUGGGUUUAAAGGGUGCGCAGGCGGCCAUUUAAGUCAGCGGUUAAAUCGUGGGGCUCAACCCCAUUCUGCCGUUGAUACUGGGUGGCUUGAUUGCGGUCGAGGUUGGCGGAAUUCGUUGUGUAGCGGUGGAAUGCAUAGAUAUGACGAAGAACACCGAUUGCGUAGGCAGCUGACCAGAUCGCAAAUGACGCUCAUGCACGAAAGUGCGGGGAUCGAACAGGAUUAGAUACCCUGGUAGUCCGCACAGUAAACGAUGAAUACUUGUUUUCGGCGAUAUAAUGUCGGAGGCAAAGCGAAAGCGAUAAGUAUUCCACCUGGGGAGUACGCCGGCAACGGUGAAACUCAAAGGAAUUGGCGGGG